This 253-nucleotide ribosomal RNA is filed under the name uncultured bacterium. Its description in RNAcentral is "partial 16S ribosomal RNA". It matches the Rfam family "Bacterial small subunit ribosomal RNA", at positions 524 to 776 of the family's 1533-position model. The record is from RNAcentral.
UACGAAGGGGGCUAGCGUUGUUCGGAAUUACUGGGCGUAAAGCGCGUGUAGGCGGGUCUUUAAGUCAGGGGUGAAAUGCCAGGGCUCAACCUCGGAACUGCCUUUGAUACUGGAGACCUUGAGUCCGGGAGAGGUGAGUGGAAUUGCGAGUGUAGCGGUGGAAUGCGCAGAUAUCAGGAGGAACACCAAUAGCGAAGGCAGCUCGCUGGGACGUUACUGACACUGAGGCGCGAAAGCGUGGGGAGCGAACAGG